CUACUGAACAGUCAUGAGGAAAA
This 23-nucleotide non-coding RNA is filed under the name Cricetulus griseus (Chinese hamster). The record is from RNAcentral. Lineage: Eukaryota; Metazoa; Chordata; Mammalia; Rodentia; Cricetidae.